GCACUGCUCCGGCUUGUCGCUGGCCUUUCUGAAAGGAGAGACGAGAGGAAAGUCCGGGCGGCACAGGGCGCUCCACUUCUGAAAGUAGAAGCAGCUGGUGACAGUUGGUCAGGGGAGAAGAGAAUGACCGCCUCGCUUGCGAGGUAAGGGUGAGAAGGUGGUGUAAGAGACCACCAGGCAGCGGGCGAUCGCUGUGCUGUUCCCACUGGAGGCCGCAAGUUCAUGUAUACCAUCGCCAUGUCAGGGUUGCCCGCCCGAGUUCCUUCGUGGAUGCGAUGGAGGGUAGAACGCUAGAGACGUAUGGUGACAUGCGUAGUAGAUAAAUGGCAGGCACCGGCAGCAAUGCUGGCACAGAACCCGGCUUAUAGGGGCAAUGCUUUC
This 381-nucleotide RNase P RNA is filed under the name Prevotella communis. RNAcentral's name for it is "Bacterial RNase P class A". It matches the Rfam family "Bacterial RNase P class A". From Rfam's summary of the family: Ribonuclease P (RNase P) is a ubiquitous endoribonuclease, found in archaea, bacteria and eukarya as well as chloroplasts and mitochondria. Its best characterised activity is the generation of mature 5'-ends of tRNAs by cleaving the 5'-leader elements of precursor-tRNAs. The record is from RNAcentral. Lineage: Bacteria; Pseudomonadati; Bacteroidota; Bacteroidia; Bacteroidales; Prevotellaceae.